UACCACCUUGAGAAUAUGUCUUCAGUUCC
Molecule: non-coding RNA, 29 nt
Filed under: Mus musculus (house mouse)
Lineage: Eukaryota; Metazoa; Chordata; Mammalia; Rodentia; Muridae
Also listed under: 1 other name
Source: RNAcentral